RNAcentral lists this transfer RNA (75 nucleotides) under Labrys neptuniae. Its description in RNAcentral is "tRNA-Arg". It matches the Rfam family "tRNA". Rfam says of the family: Transfer RNA (tRNA) molecules are approximately 80 nucleotides in length. Their secondary structure includes four short double-helical elements and three loops (D, anti-codon, and T loops). Further hydrogen bonds mediate the characteristic L-shaped molecular structure. tRNAs have two regions of fundamental functional importance: the anti-codon, which is responsible for specific mRNA codon recognition, and the 3' end, to which the tRNAs corresponding amino acid is attached (by aminoacyl-tRNA synthetases). tRNAs cope with the degeneracy of the genetic code in two manners: having more than one tRNA (with a specific anti-codon) for a particular amino acid; and 'wobble' base-pairing, i.e. permitting non-standard base-pairing at the 3rd anti-codon position. The record is from RNAcentral. Lineage: Bacteria; Pseudomonadati; Pseudomonadota; Alphaproteobacteria; Hyphomicrobiales; Xanthobacteraceae.
GGCCACGUAGCUCAACGGAUAGAGCGCCAGCCUUCUAAGCUGUAGAUCCCGGUUCGAUUCCGGGCGUGGCUGCCA